Ostrea edulis (European flat oyster) is the source of this 942-nucleotide long non-coding RNA. RefSeq lists it as uncharacterized. NCBI's taxonomy places the organism in Eukaryota, Metazoa, Mollusca, Bivalvia, Ostreida, Ostreidae. The record is from RefSeq and is a predicted model, not a curated record. The transcript is spliced from 2 exons.
CUUGCCAAUGGGAAUACACCAAUCGACUGUCGCAGCAUAAACCCCACCCACCAUGGUCACGUCGUAGCAACAACGGAGACUCGGACAAAGAAACUAUGAUAUACACUUCAUCUGACCCUCCCCUUUUGUGACAGUUGUAAAAAGAGAGUACAUAAAAAUUGAAGAUUUGUAUCAGCAAAUCAGCAAGUGACCCCCUCCGGAAAACGAUGCUGUGUGCCUGGACUAUAAAUGUCUAAGUAGCACAAUAAACACGAAAACAUCUUACCGAGUUCAUAGAUACGUAUCUUAGUUAUUUUGUGGACAUUUAGCUGACUCUGAGGCCUGCGACAUAAGGCAAUAAACGGCGUGUACACUUCUACAAGUCUGUCUUUCGUUGAUGGAAAUGGUGUGAAUUUGCCUCCAUUAAGUUUGUCUGGAUACAUUAUGUGUGAUUUACAGAUUCCAGAGAAAAAUGUUUAAUCAUUCCUCAUACAAAAAGGUGCAUACACACCGUAUUAUUAACACAUGGUCGGUCGAUACAUUUCUGUGCUUACUAUACAAAACAAUGGUGGACGUCCGAUGUUUGUCCGAGGCUCGUGGUAGUGGGAGGCGCUUAUUUUUUCAGCGCAUUUCAUUGGUCAAAAUAUAAGGUCAUGAACUUCAGUGGACAGGUGUCUUCCUGUUGGAAGACCUGGGGCUCGUUUUACAAAACAACUUACGACAAAGUCGCAAGUCUUACAUUGUAUUACACAGUUAUUAGUUUCAAAGAAGGAAUUGAAACGUUUCUGAAACUUAAUUUUCAACAUAAUUUCUUCACUAUUUUACAUUGGAGUGAAUUAUCGUACAAUAAACAGGAGAAUUCCAGCAUACAAAGUUGGUCGUAAGUCGUAAGUUCUUUUGUAAAAUGCACCCCUGAUCACCAAAUCCCACGAAGAUAUUGUCAAUGAGGAACUCCGGCAUAUC